RNAcentral lists this ribosomal RNA (253 nucleotides) under uncultured bacterium. Its description in RNAcentral is "partial 16S ribosomal RNA". It matches the Rfam family "Bacterial small subunit ribosomal RNA", at positions 524 to 776 of the family's 1533-position model. The record is from RNAcentral.
UACAGAGGGUGCGAGCGUUAAUCGGAAUUACUGGGCGUAAAGCGUGUGUAGGCUGCUACAUAAGUCGGAUGUGAAAGCCCCGGGCUCAACCCGGGAAGUGCACUCGAUACUGCGUAGCUUGAGUCUCGGAGAGGUUGGUGGAAUUCUCGGUGUAGAGGUGAAAUUCGUAGAUAUCGAGAGGAACACCGGUGGCGAAGGCGGCCAACUGGACGAAGACUGACGCUGAGACACGAAAGCGUGGGGAGCAAACAGG